UGGCGGGAGGAAUAAGUUACAAAUUUUUUUUAAAAUUACUUUUGUGUUAGGAAAGCACAAUAUAAAAACAAAACUUUUAAAAAAGCCAAAAUUUGAUAGUUAAUACUGAUGCUUCUAAUAUUAUAUAACAUGAUUCUUGACAUUUUUUUAAAUGCCAACUCUGCAGAUUAUAAACUCCUUCAACUUCAGAUUUUUAGUAGCAUGAGGAAUGGUUGUUCAUCAUUUAGAAUAUGGAAAGGGUGGUCAUAGAUCAUAACUGAUUGGUGCUUCGCUAAGUGAAACACUAUUUAAAGAUCAAUUUUAAUAUGAAUAAAGGGCGUUUUGAGGAAAAGAGUGGAUGCUGAAGAAAGAAGAUCUUACGUGUGACAUGUUUGUAAUCCAAAUUUUGAUUCAAGCCAUCUUUUAUAGAUAAUUGGUGGCCGGACACUUCUUUAUUGAACGUUCAUAAGGACUGGUCCAUUUACCACCGAGAACGUUACCCAGAGUGUUCACUGGGGACAGCCGAAGAGGAGGACAACACAACAGCCAAGCUUUACGCGGGAGUCGAACUCUUUAGUUUGUACAACCAGUCAGCCUUCGCUAACAACUAUGCCUUCCAGGAUGGCAUUUUUCAUUAUUUUAACCUU
Molecule: long non-coding RNA, 626 nt
Filed under: Stegodyphus dumicola
Lineage: Eukaryota; Metazoa; Arthropoda; Arachnida; Araneae; Eresidae
Description: uncharacterized LOC118198305, transcript variant X3
Source: RNAcentral